UUUUAGUAUUUAAUUUAAAGUCUAACCUGCCCACUGAAAAUUUUAAAUGGCCGCAGUAUUUUAACUGUGCAAAGGUAGCAUAAUCAUUAGUCUUUUAAUUGAAGGCUGGAAUGAAUGGUUGGAUAAGAUAUUAACUGUUUCAUAAAAAUUUUUAAUAGAAUUUUAUUUUUUAGUUAAAAAGCUAAAAUUUUCUUAAAAGACGAGAAGACCCUAUAAAUCUUUAUAUUUAAAUAAUUUUAAUUAUUUAGAUAAAUUAAAUUAUAAUUAUUUUAAAUAUUUUAUUGGGGUGAUAUUAAAAUUUAAUAAACUUUUAAUUUUUAAUUUACAUUAAUUAAUGAAUUUUAUGAUCCAUAUAUUAUGAUUAAAAAAUUAAGUUACUUUAGGGAUAACAGCGUAAUUUUUUUAGAGAGUUCUUAUUGAUAAAAA
This 426-nucleotide ribosomal RNA is filed under the name Megaselia trichorrhoea. RNAcentral describes it as "partial 16S ribosomal RNA". Lineage: Eukaryota; Metazoa; Arthropoda; Insecta; Diptera; Phoridae. The record is from RNAcentral.